AGUGAACGCUGGCGGUAGGCCUAACACAUGCAAGUCGAACGGCAGCACAGUAAGAGCUUGCUCUUACGGGUGGCGAGUGGCGGACGGGUGAGGAAUACAUCGGAAUCUACUUUUUCGUGGGGGAUAACGUAGGGAAACUUACGCUAAUACCGCAUACGACCUACGGGUGAAAGCAGGGGAUCUUCGGACCUUGCGCGAUUGAAUGAGCCGAUGUCGGAUUAGCUAGUUGGCGGGGUAAAGGCCCACCAAGGCGACGAUCCGUAGAUGGUCUGAGAGGAUGAUCAGCCACACUGGAACUGAGACACGGUCCAGACUCCUACGGGAGGCAGCAGUGGGGAAUAUUGGACAAAGGGCGCAAGCCUGAUCCAGCCAUACCGCGUGGGUGAAGAAGGCCUUCGGGUUGUAAAGCCCUUUUGUUGGGAAAGAAAAGCAGCAGGUUAAUACCCCGCUGUUCUGACGGUACCCAAAGAAUAAGCACCGGCUGACUUCGUG
This 492-nucleotide ribosomal RNA is filed under the name uncultured bacterium. RNAcentral describes it as "partial 16S ribosomal RNA". It matches the Rfam family "Bacterial small subunit ribosomal RNA", at positions 29 to 507 of the family's 1533-position model. The record is from RNAcentral.